CUCAGGCUCCUGGGGCUUGUGCCCAAACUUGGCUCAGUGGAGUCAUUUUGGGGGCUCAGCUGAGGGUCAUUUUAAGGGAACAGCUGCUGUUACCUGGGGGAAGACAGAUACUGUUUAUGAUGCUGCACUCCAACUUUUGUUUUGCUUGUGGAGACGCAUAAAUCUGUACUUCGAAAGCUCCUGAUCCCAUGGAAGGCUCUCAAAUGUCUGAUCAGCUGAACAGCACUGGUGAAUGCAACGGGAGAUGAAGGAUCAGGUUGGAGUGCACAGGAGAUAAGCCAAGGUGACAAAUACUUAUCCAAAGCUGCAAAGGAGGAAGUCAGUGAGGGCUGGGGCAGAUAUAGGAA
Molecule: long non-coding RNA, 347 nt
Filed under: Phasianus colchicus (ring-necked pheasant)
Lineage: Eukaryota; Metazoa; Chordata; Aves; Galliformes; Phasianidae
Description: lncRNA (ENSPCLG00000003042.1)
Source: RNAcentral